RNAcentral lists this non-coding RNA (31 nucleotides) under Rattus norvegicus (Norway rat). Lineage: Eukaryota; Metazoa; Chordata; Mammalia; Rodentia; Muridae. The record is from RNAcentral.
CUGCAGGGCUACACAGCUUCUUAAUGCAGAU